RNAcentral lists this ribosomal RNA (468 nucleotides) under uncultured bacterium. Its description in RNAcentral is "partial 16S ribosomal RNA". It matches the Rfam family "Bacterial small subunit ribosomal RNA", at positions 28 to 507 of the family's 1533-position model. The record is from RNAcentral.
GACGAACGCUGGCGGCGUGCUUAACACAUGCAAGUCGAACGGAAAGGCCCUGCUUUUGUGGGGUGCUCGAGUGGCGAACGGGUGAGUAACACGCGAGUAACCUGCCCUUGACUUUGGGAUAACUUCAGGAAACUGGGGCUAAUACCGGAUAGGAGCUACUGCUGCAUGGUGGGGGUUGGAAAGUUUCGGCUGUUGGGGAUGGACUCGCGGCUUACCAGCUUGUUGGUGGGGUAGUGGCUUACCAAGGCUUUGACGGCUAGCCGGCCUGAGAGGGUGACCGGGCACAAUGGUACUGAGGGACGGCGCAGACUCCUACGGGAGGCAGCAGUGGGGAAUAUGGCGCAAUGGGGGGGAGCCUGAUGCGGCAGCGCCGCGUGCGGGAUGACGGCCUUCGGGUUGUAAACCGCUUUGGACUGUGACGAAGCGUGAGUGACGGUAAUGGGUAAAGAAGCACCGGCUAACUACGUG